CGGAGCGUGGCGCAGCCUGGUAGCGUACACCCUUGGGGUGGGUGGGGUCGUCGGUUCAAAUCCGGUCGCUCCGACCA
This 77-nucleotide transfer RNA is filed under the name Desulfurispirillum alkaliphilum. RNAcentral describes it as "tRNA-Pro". It matches the Rfam family "tRNA". Rfam says of the family: Transfer RNA (tRNA) molecules are approximately 80 nucleotides in length. Their secondary structure includes four short double-helical elements and three loops (D, anti-codon, and T loops). Further hydrogen bonds mediate the characteristic L-shaped molecular structure. tRNAs have two regions of fundamental functional importance: the anti-codon, which is responsible for specific mRNA codon recognition, and the 3' end, to which the tRNAs corresponding amino acid is attached (by aminoacyl-tRNA synthetases). tRNAs cope with the degeneracy of the genetic code in two manners: having more than one tRNA (with a specific anti-codon) for a particular amino acid; and 'wobble' base-pairing, i.e. permitting non-standard base-pairing at the 3rd anti-codon position. Lineage: Bacteria; Pseudomonadati; Chrysiogenota; Chrysiogenia; Chrysiogenales; Chrysiogenaceae. RNAcentral also lists the same sequence under 3 other names. The record is from RNAcentral.